CGCGGGGUGGAGCAGCUCGGUAGCUCGCUGGGCUCAUAACCCAGAGGUCGCAG
RNAcentral lists this transfer RNA (53 nucleotides) under Mycobacterium tuberculosis. RNAcentral's name for it is "tRNA-Met". Lineage: Bacteria; Bacillati; Actinomycetota; Actinomycetes; Mycobacteriales; Mycobacteriaceae. The record is from RNAcentral.